GGCUUUUUGGUGAUUCAUGAUAACUUUACGGAUCGCAUAGCCUUGCGCUGGCGACGGUUCAUUCAAAUUUCUGCCCUAUCAACUUUCGAUGGUAAGGUAUUGGCUUACCAUGGUUUCAACGGGUAACGGGGAAUUAGGGUUCGAUUCCGGAGAGGGAGCCUGAGAAACGGCUACCACAUCCAAGGAAGGCAGCAGGCGCGCAAAUUACCCAAUCCCGACACGGGGAGGUAGUGACAAUAAAUACUGAUACAGGGCUCUUUUGGGUCUUGUAAUUGGAAUGAGUACAAUUUAAACCUCUUAACGAGGAACAAUUGGAGGGCAAGUCUGGUGCCAGCAGCCGCGGUAAUUCCAGCUCCAAUAGCGUAUAUUAAAGUUGUUGCAGUUAAAAAGCUCGUAGUUGAAACUUGGGCCUGGCUGGCGGGUCCGCCUCACCGCGUGCACUCGUCCGGCCGGGCCUUCCUUCUGAAGAACCUCAUGCCCUUCACUGGGCGUGCUGGGGAAUCAGGACUUUUACUUUGAAAAAAUUAGAGUGUUCAAAGCAGGCCUUUGCUCGAAUACGUUAGCAUGGAAUAAUAAAAUAGGGCGUGCGUUUCUAUUUUGUUGGUUUCUAGAGACGCCGCAAUGAUUAACAGGAACAGUCGGGGGCAUCAGUAUUCCGUUGUCAGAGGUGAAAUUCUUGGAUUUACGGAAGACUAACUACUGCGAAAGCAUUUGCCAAGGAUGUUUUCAUUAAUCAGUGAACGAAAGUUAGGGGAUCGAAGACGAUCAGAUACCGUCGUAGUCUUAACCGUAAACUAUGCCGACUAGGGAUCGGGCGAUGUUCUUUUUCUGACUCGCUCCGUGCACCCUUAGAAAAGAAAGUCAAAAGUUCUUUUGGGUUUCCGGGCAGAG
Molecule: ribosomal RNA, 891 nt
Filed under: Pleosporales sp. Rco008EF4
Lineage: Eukaryota; Fungi; Ascomycota; Dothideomycetes; Pleosporales
Description: SSU rRNA
Rfam family: Eukaryotic small subunit ribosomal RNA
Source: RNAcentral